GGCGUGGGACGGGCAGCGGCGCAGGGCGGCGCGAGGCGGGGCGUCCAGCGGCGAGGCGCAGGGCGGGCAGCAGCGCAGGGCGCGGAGCGGCGCGGGGAGGGCAGCAGCGCAGGGCGAGGAUCGGCGAAAGGCGGCAACGGAGCGAGGUGGGGCGAGCAGGGGCGCGGCGGAAACGGCGGCGUGGACGAGUCGCUGGAGGGGAGCACGCAGCGGGAGUCGCCGGAAAUGGGGAAUCGGAGGGGGGAAAUUUAGGAAUUUUGAGAAAUAGAAGUGAAAGUUGUGUUGAAAAAAUGAAGGAGGAGGCGCGGUGAAGUCAUCUUUUUUUUAGGGCGCAGCAACGGAAUAGCAACGGAAAAUUCUGUUGCUAAGCAACGGACGUG
RNAcentral lists this long non-coding RNA (380 nucleotides) under Salvia miltiorrhiza (redroot sage). RNAcentral describes it as "long non-coding RNA (SMIL_LNC003975)". Lineage: Eukaryota; Viridiplantae; Streptophyta; Magnoliopsida; Lamiales; Lamiaceae. The record is from RNAcentral.